UGAGGAAUAUUGGACAAUGGAUGGAAAUACUGAUCCAGCCAUGCCGCGUGCAGGAAGACGGUCCUAUGGAUUGUAAACUAGCUUUAGUCAUGGGAGGCAAUAAAGGUGUACGCGUACACCGAUGAGAGUACCAUGAGAAUAAGCACCGGCUAACUCCGUGCCAGCAGCCGCGGUAAUACGGAGGGUGCAAGCGUUAUCCGGAUUUAUUGGGUUUAAAGGGAAGCGCAGGCGGUCUUAUAAGCGUGACGUGAAAUGCAGCGGCUCAACCGUAUGAUGUGCGUCGCGAACUGUGAGACUUGAGUGUAUUCGAUGUCAGCGGAAUUUGUGGUGUAGCGGUGAAAUGCUUAGAUAUCACGAAGAACUCCGAUUGCGAAGGCAGCUGACAAGGCUACAACUGACGCUAA
Molecule: ribosomal RNA, 404 nt
Filed under: uncultured Prevotella sp.
Lineage: Bacteria; Pseudomonadati; Bacteroidota; Bacteroidia; Bacteroidales; Prevotellaceae
Description: bacterial SSU rRNA
Rfam family: Bacterial small subunit ribosomal RNA
Source: RNAcentral